Molecule: non-coding RNA, 45 nt
Organism: Schistosoma curassoni
Lineage: Eukaryota; Metazoa; Platyhelminthes; Trematoda; Strigeidida; Schistosomatidae
Source: Rfam
AUCCAGUUGACGAGUCGGACACAAGACGAAACAGAGGUCCUAUAU